AUUUAGGUCUUGCAGUUUUGAAACAAGUGCUGACAUUUGAGCACCCUGAGGAAGAGCUAGAACUUCCAGCAGAUCUAAACUCGACGGAAAAUGGAAAUAUCAUCACACGUUUUUAAUUACUUAUACGUGUAUUCCGAUUACAUGACGAUUCUUUGUGACUAUUGCUAAACAAGACCUAAAGGC
This is a non-coding RNA of Ciona intestinalis (vase tunicate), 183 nucleotides long. Lineage: Eukaryota; Metazoa; Chordata; Ascidiacea; Phlebobranchia; Cionidae. The record is from RefSeq and is a predicted model, not a curated record.